RNAcentral lists this unclassified non-coding RNA (1177 nucleotides) under Hevea brasiliensis (rubber tree). The record is from RNAcentral. Lineage: Eukaryota; Viridiplantae; Streptophyta; Magnoliopsida; Malpighiales; Euphorbiaceae.
GGGGACCCUGCCAUAACCAAAACCUACACUCCACAUGGACAAGAAACCUAGCACUACAAGAAUGAUUUUACUAGUUUUUAUAUAUUUACAACCUAAAUUCUAAUCAUUCACCUGAGCUCUCACAGGAGCUACCAAGAUUGGGCAUUAUGUCAUGAACUAACAAUCUUACUACAUUGCUGCCUGAUGAACUUGAGAUAUCAAUGCAUUCUUGUAGAUCUGCAUCGCACGCGAUUAAAACCCACUCGUGGUCAUCAUCUAGGUACUUGAUAUCGAAAGUUCCCAUCUCUAACUUUAGCCUCUUGGAUACUUCCUCCUUCAACUUAUAUAUGCCAGAGUUCAAACAAAGUCGAAAUCUUAUGAUGUCUUCCCUAUAGGUUGCUUUUAUAGUCACGGAUGUUACUUCAGGCCUGGAAGAAAAUUGUGGCAUCUUCUCGACAGGAAGAGGAACUUGAUUCGUAGCAAUUCCAUUAGAACAUGGUGGGUUUGUCCAACUGUAUUCUGGGACACGUUCAUCAAACAUGGUUUCUCCAGCCGGACAGAGAUUUCUCAGAUCAUGUGAGCUGCCUGCAUCCUCAACUAGCAUUCCCCUAAACUGUUGAUGAGUGUGUUCUGGAAUAAAAAGCCCAGGCAUUAGGAAUGCAGUGGAUAAGUUUAAUUCUCCUGUGGUCUGACGAGCUGGUUCCAAAGAGCCUUCCACUUUCAUGACCGACUCUUGUGUAGGUGAAUUGAGCAGCUCAUUCUGAGGGGAGGACUCAUUUGCAGGGGAAGGACUACCUUGGCAUGAUCCAUGGGAGGUAGGCGUCCCCGUGCUCUCUUCUCUAGAGAAGCUCCCGGUUCUGGACCUAUGUGACCCUUCACGCACAAAACCAUUCAGCUUUGGAGAGAGCUCUUCAUUCCCAAUAAUCCGGCUUCCAAGCAUUUGGUCUGUAGGUUCAGCUUCUUCAUGACUUCCUGGUGUUCCAUGGUUGGAGAACUCAUUCUUCUCUUCUUGGUACUCCGAAGCUUUACACGGCGAACCAUUUAUGCCUGCAGGCCAAGAAAUAGAACCAACAGCAACAGGAAGUGAAUUUGGUGCAAGUGAAGUCAGGCUGAAUGUUCCAUCAGCUCCUUGCACAGAUUCAAUGACACGUUUUAGCUUUGAAAGGGACCGGUUAACCUUGUUUAUCUUGCGAGAUGG